AUUGAAUUACCUGUAUAAAAUGAUAACAAUGUGAUUCACUUUAUAGCCAUAUAUCCUGAGUAAAAUUUCAGAAAUCUUAUUCUUGCUUCUUUCUACUGGAAAUUGCAGCCAAAGGGGAAAAGUCACUUUUGUCCUCACAAGGAAGCAGUAGUAAAUCCAAUGUAUCAAAUGUGCAGUUACAGCCAAUUCAACACAAACGAUGCAAAGAUAAAUUAUGGUUGUUGAAAAAGUUGAACAUGGGACUAAUAAUAAUAGUAAUGCAUUGGUUUUUUAUAACUUUUUUUCUGGACACUCAAAGACACUUCACAAUGCGUUAUUCAUUCACUCCUUACUUGGUGGUAGACUGAUGUAAGCGAGUCAUGGCCCCUCCAGGGAAUGUAGUAGAGAGUGCGCACUCUACUACAUUCCCCGGUGUUCCCAAACUGUCUCCCAUCCAAGUACCAACCAGGCCCCUACCUCGCUUAGCCUCCAACAUAUGACGGGGAUGUGAACUGUGAAACCAUUUUGACCAUCAUAAUUAUAAUGUGUGCAGGGGUUUUCGAAAGGAAGACAGUACAUAUGGUUUUGCAUGCUGCUAAAGAUGAGAUAAGCCUUUAUUGAUUUCACAAAAGGUUUCUUAAAUCAACAUAUUAAAACGGGAGGAUCCUUCUUAUGAUCCAAGAUUUUAUACAUGGCAAAUGGUGGACUGAAAUUCAUGGGAGUGGGAGAAUAAUUGUUCAGUAGGUGGCGAUAUAGUGUUUUUGCGCCGAGCAGUACUAAGCACUAUUAAACUGUAAGAAGAAGCACAAGAACUCAGUAGCCCUUCGCUACCAAUACAAACCUCCAAAAGAAAACAUGGAUCGCUGACUUGAGACGAGAUUUUUUCUUUAUUGUAUUUUAUUAUUUAGAUGUCAUGAAACUAAAGUGACAGUAGCAAACACUGUAGCAUAGCGCAGUAUGUUUUCACUGAACCGGCGGACCCAGUUAGCGCUAUUCGUGCAACGAAGUCUGUUCUGUUGCAGCCACCACUGAAGGUUAGCGUUAUGCAGGAAUGGAUCGUGACACUAGCUGCAAAAAGGAGUCGUGUUAGAGUGUGAGUAAUGUUUUACAAAUAAAAUAUUUUAUCAAUUAAACAAUGAAAUAGCUCAAAAAUUAACUUGUUACUGCCUAGGUGGUGUCGAGGACUGUAGUACCCCCAAACUAGUAAUGGCGAUUAUGUUCAUUUGCAAAUAAAGCUUUAAUUGAUUUCAUUAAAACCAUAUGGUUAUUCUUUUCAACGUUGGCUAAACAUGUCAAUCCAU
This 1280-nucleotide long non-coding RNA is filed under the name Neogobius melanostomus (round goby). Its description in RNAcentral is "lncRNA (ENSNMLG00000009009.1)". Lineage: Eukaryota; Metazoa; Chordata; Actinopteri; Gobiiformes; Gobiidae. The record is from RNAcentral.